Cajanus cajan (pigeon pea) is the source of this 2559-nucleotide RNA transcript. It is a transcript of the gene named F-box/kelch-repeat protein At3g23880, with no coding region annotated. Lineage: Eukaryota; Viridiplantae; Streptophyta; Magnoliopsida; Fabales; Fabaceae. The record is from RefSeq and is a predicted model, not a curated record.
AAAUAAUCAAAUAGCAUGACGCUAUGUUAUGUGGCGUUCAUAAAAUGUGCUCCGAAAUCUGAAAUCUGUGGGUAUGGAAAUCUGUUUGUGUAAGAUUCACAGAUUCCAACAUGUGAAUGCAGAAACAACGUGAGUGACAAAUGGCGCCAGCCACCGCCGCCGCCGAUACGCUGCUACCAAUCGAGCUCAUCCAGGAAAUCCUCCUGCGCCUCCCUGUCAAGCUCCUUUUGCAACUCCGCUGCGUAUGUAAAUCCUGGAAAACCCUAAUUUCCGAUCCCCAAUUCGCCAAAAACCAACUCCGCCGCUCACCGCCGGCCACGCACCUCAUCCUGAGCUUCACCAGCCUGUCGGAAAAGGUCACUCUCCGAACCUACCCUCUCCGCUCCGUCUUCAACGCCGUUACCGUUACUCCCACGGUGCUCAGCUCCCCUCUGCGCAACCAAAACGGUUUCGACUCAGUCGUUGGCUCCUGCGGCGGCAUUAUCUGCUUCGCCGUCGAACAAUCCCCUGGUUUUCUCGUUCUAUGGAACCCUACCAUCGCCAAAUUCAACACAUUGCCGCCUCUGCGCGAGUACGAUCUCAGCGAUCUGGUAUGCGGCUUCGGUUACGACAGUGCCACCCACACUUACAAGGUGGUCGCAGUUUACAGCUUCCAACGCGAUUCUGUUUGCGAAACUGAGGCCAACGUUCUUGCGUUGGGCACCAACAUGUGGAGGACGAUUCACGACUUUCCUUCCGUGUUUCUCUUGCCUGAAUCGGGGAAAUUCGUCGGUGGCUCGCUUAAUUGGUUGGCUUCAGGUGCUGCUUCGUGUUCUAGGGUUAUUGUUUCUCUUGAUUUGGGGAACGAGUUGUGUGAAGAGGUUCCGCAGCCUGAUUAUGGAGGAGUGCACGUGGUUACUGUGACUUUGGGUGUGUUGAGGGAUUGCUUGUGCCUUCUCUCUCAUGGCAACACUAGUUUGGAUGUUUGGCUUAUGGGGGAAUAUGGGAGUAAAGAGAGUUGGGACCGGUUGUUCAGUUUUUACGUGGAAGAGCCUGGCUACUUUCCAUACACCAAGAUGCUUUGUCAUUCCGAGGAUGACCAGGUGUGGACGUGUGGUUGAUUCUCAAUUUAGUCCAUAUGCUUAAAAACUUAUUAAAUUAAUCCUUAUGUGUACAACAAGAGCAAGUCUAAGAGAGACAUGGUCUUAGAGCUCCAUGGAUUUGGAAGCAUCUGCAAUUUCAAGUCGCGACACUAAUAUACAUGAAUAUGUAUGUUGGUUCAAUUAUUUGUCAAAGUGAGAAACGUGGUCACACACAUACAUCUAACCAGGUACAAUUAUUGGUAACACCGUCUAAAUAAGAAGUAACAAUAGGGACCUAAUUAAUAUGUUUUUAUAUGUAGGGACUAAAUUGAGAAUCAGUUACACGUGGACUAAAUUAUACAUUUAACCUUCUUAUUUCCUAUGUGUUUAGUCUGUAGAAGAGCAAAAGGUGAGAUGUUUUCUGUCAUGGUAAACUGAUUAAUCCAUACACACCCCCUAAUAAUAAGGCAAAGGAACUGUAAAAAUUGUGAUUAAGUUACCAUCUUGUUUUAAGAUGAAAGAAGAAGUGCAAAAGCUAAUUAUAUUAUUAUAGCAUUCUCAUUUAUUUGGACUGGACAAUAAUUUCCUUGUAGAACAUAGAGAAAGAUUUGUCAAGUGUAGUCAUGGAGAUUUAGAUAGAGAAUUCCAACCUAGGGCCCAGAUGUUGAGAAUAGACAUCAUCUGCUCAUUAAGAUAUUUCUAAUUUCUAAAUUUAAUACAAUUUUGUUAUAAAUGGUUUAUGAGGAAUAUUAAUAACUGGUGUUUGUUUUGAAAAUAAUAAUAAAUUGAGGUUGAUAGGUUACCAUAAUUUACUAUGCUCAGAAUAAGGAGUUGACUAAUGAUACUCAAUGUUAGUGUUCAGAAUUUCUUUCUUUUCAUUGUCUUCGAUUACAUCAUUGUUCUCAGGUUAUACUGGGAUUUAAUGUUGUUGGACUUAAACAGCUAAAUGAUCUCAGAACCCUUAUCUUAGAGAAACUCCUCAGCCAUGAUCUGUAGCACAAUCAAGCUGUGUGAGACUGUUGACUAGCACAGACUGCUGUGCAUAGGUUCAUUUUGUCUUCUUUUAUGUUGUUUUUUCUGCCUCUCUUCCUUUCUUCUCUACUCCGUUUUUUGUGGCUGCAAUUACUAGAAGCUAUUGUAGCAUAGCCGGUCAUGAAGAUAUCAAUCCUGAAACCCAUAUUUAAAAGAAACUGUUAGUCUGUUAUGAUUUCUAGCCUUUGGACCAAGCAAUAGCAGAACUGUUAAAUGUUGAAUUUUUUUAAAAGAAGUUCAAGUUCUAUUAAGUAUAGGAGUUUAAACCCAGAUUAAAAGUGUUGUCAUUGUCCGAUGUCAUUUAAGUUUUUCAGUAGUGUUUGUUAAGAUUUUCGUGUUUAUUUUUAUUUGUGUAUUAUUGUUUUCUUAAAUUGUAUUAAUAUUUGAUAUAGUGUGCACAUAUUGUCUAGUACCAUGGGCCUUUAUUGCAAGUUUGCAACAGUGUGCAACACAUUCUUAAUUUAAC